This 588-nucleotide ribosomal RNA is filed under the name Apiotrichum laibachii. Its description in RNAcentral is "eukaryotic LSU rRNA". It matches the Rfam family "Eukaryotic large subunit ribosomal RNA", at positions 78 to 658 of the family's 3401-position model. The record is from RNAcentral. Lineage: Eukaryota; Fungi; Basidiomycota; Tremellomycetes; Trichosporonales; Trichosporonaceae.
CCUUAGUAACGGCGAGUGAACCGGGAAAAGCUCAAAUUUGAAAUCUGGCUGUCUUCGAUAGUCCGAGUUGUAAUCUAUAGAAGCGUUUUCCGCGCUGAACUGUGUCUAAGUCCCUUGGAACAGGGUAUCAAAGAGGGUGACAAUCCCGUACUUGACACAAUCAUCAGUGCUCUGUGAUACGUUCUCUACGAGUCGAGUUGUUUGGGAAUGCAGCUCAAAAUGGGUGGUAAAUUCCAUCUAAAGCUAAAUAUUGGCGAGAGACCGAUAGCGAACAAGUACCGUGAGGGAAAGAUGAAAAGCACUUUGGAAAGAGAGUUAAACAGUACGUGAAAUUGUUAAAAGGGAAACGAUUGAAGUCAGUCGUGUUUAUUGGAUUCAGCCGGUCUUCGGUGUACUUCCUUUAAACGGGUCAACAUCAGUUUUGUCCGGUGGAUAAAGGCAGUAGGAAUGUGGCUCUCUCGGGAGUGUUAUAGCCUAUUGUCACAUACACUGGAGGAGACUGAGGACUGCAGCUCGCCUUUUGGCCGGGGUUCGCCCACGUUCGAGCUUAGGAUGUUGACAUAAUGGCUUUAAACGACCCGUCUUGAA